Molecule: ribosomal RNA, 443 nt
Filed under: uncultured bacterium
Lineage: Bacteria
Description: partial 16S ribosomal RNA
Rfam family: Bacterial small subunit ribosomal RNA
Source: RNAcentral
CCUACGUGGGGCAGCAGUGGGGAAUAUUGGACAAUGGGGGGAACCCUGAUCCAGCGACGCCGCGUGAGUGAAGAAGUAUUUCGGUAUGUAAAGCUCUAUCAGCAGGGAAGAAAGAAAUGACGGUACCUGACUAAGAAGCCCCGGCUAACUACGUGCCAGCAGCCGCGGUAAUACGUAGGGGGCAAGCGUUAUCCGGAUUUACUGGGUGUAAAGGGAGCGUAGACGGCGAUGCAAGUCUGAAGUGAAAGGCGGGGGCCCAACCCCCGGACUGCUUUGGAAACUGUAUGGCUGGAGUGCAGGAGAGGUAAGUGGAAUUCCUAGUGUAGCGGUGAAAUGCAUAGAUAUUAGGAGGAACACCAGUGGCGAAGGCGGCUUACUGGACUGUAACUGACGUUGAGGCUCGAAAGCGUGGGGAGCAAACAGGAUUAGAUACCCCAGUAGUC